Molecule: ribosomal RNA, 497 nt
Filed under: uncultured bacterium
Lineage: Bacteria
Description: partial 16S ribosomal RNA
Rfam family: Bacterial small subunit ribosomal RNA
Source: RNAcentral
GAUGAACGCUGGCGGCGUGCUUAAUACAUGCAAGUCGAGCGAACAGACGAGGAGUUUGCUCCUCUGACGUUAGCGGCGGACGGGUGAGUAACACGUGGAUAACCUACCUAUAAGACUGGGAUAACUUCGGGAAACCGGAGCUAAUACCGUAUAAUAUAUUGAACCGCAUGGGUGAAUAGUGAAAUUCGGUUUUUCUGUCAGUUAUAGAUGCUUCCGCGCUGUUUUAGAUUGUUGGUAAGGUUACGGCUUACCAAGGCAACCAUGCGUAUCCGACUGGAGGGGGUGGUAGGCCGCACUGGAAGUGAGACGCGGUCAAGACGCCUAAGGGAGGGACCAGUAUGGAAUGUUACGCAAUGGGCGAGAGUCUUACGCAGCAGCGCGGCGUGUGAGGUAGAGGUGUUCGGAUCGUAAUACUGUGUUAUUAGGGAAGAACAAAUGUGUAAGGAAAUAUAGCCGUAUUGACGGUACCUGAUCAGAAAGCCCCGGCUAACUACGUG